Molecule: ribosomal RNA, 555 nt
Filed under: uncultured bacterium
Lineage: Bacteria
Description: bacterial SSU rRNA
Rfam family: Bacterial small subunit ribosomal RNA
Source: RNAcentral
UGAUGGACGAGUCUGACGGAGCACGCCGCGUGAGUGAAGAAGGUUUUCGGAUCGUAAAACUCUGUUGUUAGGGAAGAACAAGUCAGGUAGUAACUGACCUGACCUUGACGGUACCUAACCAGAAAGCCACGGCUAACUACGUGCCAGCAGCCGCGGUAAUACGUAGGUGGCAAGCGUUGUCCGGAUUUAUUGGGCGUAAAGCGCUCGCAGGCGGUCUUUUAAGUCUGAUGUGAAAGCCCACGGCUUAACCGUGGAGGGUCAUUGGAAACUGGAGGACUUGAGUGCAGAAGAGGAGAGUGGAAUUCCAUGUGUAGCGGUGAAAUGCGUAGAGAUAUGGAGGAACACCAGUGGCGAAGGCGACUCUCUGGUCUGUAACUGACGCUGAGGAGCGAAAGCGUGGGUAGCGAACAGGAUUAGAUACCCUGGUAGUCCACGCCGUAAACGAUGAGUGCUAGGUGUUAGGGGGUUUCCGCCCCUUAGUGCUGAAGUUAACGCAUUAAGCACUCCGCCUGGGGAGUACGGCCGCAAGGCUGAAACUCAAAAAAUUUUGACGGA